AUGAUACAUUUUUUGAUAUUUUUACUGAAAACAAGACAAAAAUACCAAGUAAUUUUUUGCAGUGUGACUCCAUUAAAUGUGUGUGUGUGUGUGUGUGUGUGUGUGUGUGUGUGUGUGUGUGUGUGUGUGUGUAGAUUAAACAUGAACGGGCCAAAACGGACAUGGCAGCAGGUCAAAAUCAAAUACAAGAACAUUCUGCAGAAUGUGAAAAAGAAUACCCACAGACAAGGCACGGGUGGUGGGUCACCAAAGGCUGACCUUACCCCAGCAGAGGACAUGGCCUUGGAGCUAAAUAAAGGCAGGCCCGUCUUAGAGGGGAUCCCUGGGGGGAAAGAGACGAGCAUAGGUUCCUCCCAAGAUGCCACCCGCUUCAUUCAAGUGUCUGGCAGCACUGUGUUCCUGUUAGAGCCACCAGCACAAGCACCAGACGAUGCUGAUCCAGGUGAAGGCCCCAGUGCAGCAGCAACAGCACAUGAUGGAGACGAUGAUGAGGAGGAGACCAUCUCUCUGGAUUCCAGAAGGCAUGAGGUAUCAUGUUAAGACUGUGAAAGUACUAUUUACUCUACAAUGGUGAGGAGUCCUCAUCAAAAUCAAAAAAUCUAAUUUCUUUUACAGGACCCAGAUGCUAUACAGUGGGAAAACCAGCCUGGCAACAUAGUGCGUAUUAAUAAAAGGACACCACAUCCUGCCAAAUUCCAGCUGCGCUAAUUGUAUUGUGUUCACAGAGCUCACAAGCUAUCAGAAAGUUGUAUGGCAACCACCUCCGGCGCCAAAUAGAACUGGCAGACAGACAUUCAGUACAAGAAGAAAAAGGUGGAAAAUCUUGCACUGGAGUUCGAAAUAAAAAAGAGGACAAUUAGGAAACUGGACCUUGAAAUAAAAAAACUUGAGAGGGAGGUGAGAUAUGCCUUCAAUGUACACUGUAUGCUAACUGUAACACAAAUGUAUUAAUCAUUAUCUUUCUUUCCUCCCCCAGCUCCAAGAAGAUGACACAGCUCAAAAUAAAAAUUAGGUAUAUUCUCGUAAAGUCAAGUGAGCCAUGACAUAUGAGCUCUUAUUGUGAGCACACAGGACGGUGGCAUCUUUCUAAGGUUUUUUUUAUUUUCCCAGCAAUCAGUACAACCAAGUCAUCGUUAUAAGGCAUCGCCCUCUUUUGCCCACCCCCCCAGCACCAGGUGUGGCCACUAGCCUAUAUGAAGGCCCAAAAUUGUGUGUUCCUUUCUGCUCUGACAAUGGCAUGCCCAUUCGUGCGAGAUGUGGUGGAUGAAGAAGCACUUGUGCUGAGGAGAGCCUUCAGGUGAGAAAGGGUCUUCAGGGACCGGUUGGACCCACUGGCCUUCCCUGAUGACCAUCUAUAUGAAAGAUACAGGUUUUCUGCAGAUGGCAUCAGGUAUCUAUGCAGACUACUGGGUCCCAGGAUUAAGCACCGCACUGCACGGAGCCAUGCACUGAGUGUGGAGCAAAUGGUUUGUGUGGCCUUGCGCUUUUUUGCUAGUGGAGCCUUCCUGUACUCAGUGGGGGAUGCAGAACAGCUGAACAAGGCCACAAUUUGCCGCACAAUAAGGAGUGUGUCUGGCUAUCAAAGCAUUAGCAGAUGUCUUCAUCUCCUUCCCUGGCCACAGAAGACUCUGUGACAUCAAAGAGGAGUUCUAUAGGAUUGCAGGUAAGAGGAUCUACAAAUUACACAAACUGUUAACACAUAGUAGGAUACUCAUUACUUUGUGUGACAGGUUUCCCCAAUGUCAUUGGUGCAGUGGACUGCACACACAUAAGGAUAAAAGCCCCCUCAGGUGCCCAUGAGGCCAAUUUUGUGAAUAGGAAAUCCUUUCACAGCAUUAAUGUUCAGGUGAACAUAACUUUUUGAUAUUGUCCAUUGACGAACACUCUGCAUUGCCAGUGAUGUGCAUUGAUUGGUGUAAUAUUCCUCAUCUUAUGAUUUCAGAUGGUCUGCAAUGCUGACUGUGAUCAGCAAUGUUGUGGCAAAAUGGCCUGGCUCAGUCCAUGACUCCAGAAUCUUUCGGGCCUCUGAAAUCUAUCAGUGCCUAUCACAAGGUAAGCCACACAACCCCUAUUUAUAACCAUCAUGGCUGUGUCAAGAAUAUCACUGUGUUUAUGAGGUAGUAAUGAUGAGAUUUUGUGUUGACAGGUGAAUUCUCUGGUGUGUUGCUGGGAGACAGGGGGUAUGGCUGCCAGCCUUUUCUCCUGACACCUUUCACAGACCCCCUGAAGCACAGCAGGCCUACAACCAUGCCCAUGCCAGGACCAGGGCCAGAGUUGAAAUGACCUUUGGCCUCCUGAAGGCACGCUUUCACUGCCUUCACAAAUUAAGGGUCAGCCCUGUUAGGGCAUGUGAUAUUACUGUGGCUUGUGCUGUCCUCCACAAUGUGGCCUGCCUGAGGAAGGAGAGGGCCCCCAGAGUGCCACCAGCCAUGGACUGGGACAAUCCGGCAAUCUUCCCUGAUGACGACAGUGGUCGGCUGCUGAGGGACCAAUAUGUGUUGAAUUAUUUUAGUUAGUAUGUGUGCUUUCAAUUUUGGUUAAAUAUGUCCUGCGGUGGCAGAGGAAUUUGGCCUCUUAUGAUGUUUGUGCGGUAUACUGUGUGUAAUACAAGGCUGCAGGGAGGCUACUGCAUCCAUUCAUUUGUCUGUUCAGUUGAUGUGUAUGGAUUUGUCCUGCAUUUAUUUUAGUGUGCAGACAUGCAGGGUGUGUUAUAUACAGACCUUUGAAUGUGUAUGUAUCAUUUUGUAUUAUAUGCUUGGAUUCUGUGCUUUCCAUCUUGUAGAGUCACUGUGACUUCAGUUUCGAAAGGAGCUGAUGGUUUACCUGCUUUGUUUUGUCCUUAUUCAAUAAAGGAACAUAAUGUUACACAUUGUGUUUUUAUAUUCAUAUGGAAUGUGUAUUUGUUUAUAUGACAGAGUACUAGGGCCACACUGAAGAAAAAGGAUAAAGUCAUAAAUUUAUGAGGCUGGUUCUUUCUGCAGAAAAGCUACAUAUUGUUUUUACAGUUUUGAUACUUAUGACAAUGUGAUACUUAAUAUUCUGGCACAUCAGCAUGUCUUUGUUUAUGAAACCAUACUGAAGUACAAUUUCACGAAAUGCCCCACAUCUGUCAUUUUAACAACUGUCC
This 3127-nucleotide long non-coding RNA is filed under the name Oncorhynchus kisutch (coho salmon). RNAcentral describes it as "lncRNA (ENSOKIG00005013149.1)". The record is from RNAcentral. Lineage: Eukaryota; Metazoa; Chordata; Actinopteri; Salmoniformes; Salmonidae.